This 575-nucleotide long non-coding RNA is filed under the name Brassica rapa (field mustard). Its description in RNAcentral is "long non-coding RNA (BRAP_LNC006928)". The record is from RNAcentral. Lineage: Eukaryota; Viridiplantae; Streptophyta; Magnoliopsida; Brassicales; Brassicaceae.
GAUGAGAUUCCGAUCUUUUAAACUAAGAUAAUUUAUGUUCUAUACAUAAUUAAAUCUUUUUUACAUAACUCUAAAAUCUCGGACUUGAUUCUUUAUAUUUUAUUAGUUAAUUAUGUUACAUAUAAUAGAAAUGCCUACUUCAAACUAAAAAUAUAAAAAAAAAAACAAAUUUAAAAAUUAGUUAUAUAUAAUUUAACAUACAAAAAUUCACAUACAAAUAAAAAAUUAUAAAUGUAACAAGUUUAAAUAUAUUAUCCGCGCGUAGCGCGGAGAAAGGAUCUAGUUAUAUCUUAAAACACUUAUAUACCAUGGCUGAAAGUGGGUAAAAUCCAUGGUAUAACAAUUCUCCCAGACUUACCAUUUUGCUUGUUCUCAAGCAAAACAAACAGGCAGUCUCUCUGAAAGAGGUUUGAAAACAGCAGGAACUAACAUGAUUUAAAACUUAGAAUCAUCACCUCCGUAAUAUUGAAAUCCACAUCUUAGAAGUCCUAAUCGCAAAAGCACAAUACAAUAUCCUAGCUUAGCAACCAAAUUCACCUAGCCAACAACUUACCAAAUCAUGUCUGACAUUCCCC